CUAAUUUACAAGUAUAUGAUUUAUCUACACGGAUAACUUUGGCAAUUCUGGAGCUAAUACGUGCAUUGAUGCCUAACUUUUGUUGGGUGCAGUUAUUAGUACAAAACCAUCCGACUUCGGUCGGUUUUGUUAACUCUGGAUAAUGUUGCUAAUCGCGUGGUCUCGUACCAGCGAUGUAACUUUCAAGGGACUGAUCUAUCAACUUCGACAUUAGUGUAUUGAACUAAUGUGGUGUUGACGGAUAACGGAGAAUUAGGGUUCGACUCCGGAGAAAACGCCUGAGAAACGGCGGUUACAUCCAAGGAAGGCAGCAGGCGCGAAAAUUACCCACUCUCGGUUCGAGGAGGUAGUGACGUGAAAUGGCAGAAUCCUUUUCUUUAUGGAACGGAUUAUUGCAAUGAUGUGAGUUUAUAAACCUUACAAAUUUGCUAUGAGAGGGCAAGUCUGGUGCCAGCAGCCGCGGUAAUUCCAGCUCUCAUACUGCAUUGAAUAGUUGUUGCGGUUAAAAAGCUCGUAGUUGGAUCUUUUACGUUUGCGUGGUCUGCUCAUUGAGUGGUACUACUGCAACGUAAUUUGUAUGGGAUUUCUGUAUUCUUUAUUGAGUGCAGUGUCUUAUACGAUUACUUUGAAUAAAUCGGAGUGAUUCAAACAGGCGUAAGCUUGAACGUUCUUGCAUGGAAUAAUAAAACAAGACAUUGGGCUUGUUUUUUGGUUUUAAAGACCAAUGUAAUGAUUAAAAGGAACAAUUCGGGGGCAUUCGUAUUGAUGCGCGAGAGGUGAAAUUCGUUGACCGUAUCAAGACGAUCUAAAGCGAAGGCAUUUGCCAAGAAUG
RNAcentral lists this ribosomal RNA (832 nucleotides) under Turbatrix aceti. RNAcentral describes it as "SSU rRNA". It matches the Rfam family "Eukaryotic small subunit ribosomal RNA", at positions 112 to 966 of the family's 1831-position model. Lineage: Eukaryota; Metazoa; Nematoda; Chromadorea; Rhabditida; Panagrolaimidae. The record is from RNAcentral.